RNAcentral lists this ribosomal RNA (436 nucleotides) under uncultured bacterium. RNAcentral describes it as "partial 16S ribosomal RNA". It matches the Rfam family "Bacterial small subunit ribosomal RNA", at positions 341 to 792 of the family's 1533-position model. The record is from RNAcentral.
ACGGAAGGCAGCAGUGGGGAAUAUUGGGCAAUGGGGGGAACCCUGACCUAGCAACGCCGCGUGGAGGAAGAAGGUUUUCGGAUCGUAAACUCCUGUCCUUGGUGAAGAGCAGAAGACGGUAGCCAAGGAGGAAGCCCCGGCUAACUACGUGCCAGCAGCCGCGGUAAUACGUAGGGGGCAAGCGUUGUCCGGAAUGAUUGGGCGUAAAGGGCGCGUAGGCGGCCCGGUAAGUCUGGAGUGAAAGUCCUGCCUUUAAGGUGGGAAUUGCUUUGGAUACUGUCGGGCUUGAGUGCAGGAGAGGUAAGUGGAAUUCCCAGUGUAGCGGUGAAAUGCGUAGAGAUUGGGAGGAACACCAGUGGCGAAGGCGACUUACUGGACUGUAACUGACGCUGAGGCGCGAAAGUGUGGGGAGCAAACAGGAUUAGAUACCCUGGUA